RNAcentral lists this ribosomal RNA (605 nucleotides) under Gloeocantharellus neoechinosporus. RNAcentral's name for it is "Gloeocantharellus sp. MZ-2018a partial large subunit ribosomal RNA". It matches the Rfam family "Eukaryotic large subunit ribosomal RNA", at positions 71 to 656 of the family's 3401-position model. The record is from RNAcentral. Lineage: Eukaryota; Fungi; Basidiomycota; Agaricomycetes; Gomphales; Gomphaceae.
AGGAUUCCCUAGUACGGCGAGUGAAGCGGGAAGAGCUCAAAUUUGUAAUCUGGCGGUCUAUGGCCGUCCGAGUUGUAGUCUGGAGAAGCGUCUUCUGCGCCGGACCGUGUACAAGUCCCUUGGAACAGGGCGUCACAGAGGGUGAGAAUCCCGUCUUUGACACGGACCGCCGGCGCUCUGCGAUGCGCUCUCGAAGAGUCGAGUUGUUUGGGAAUGCAGCUCAAAAUGGGUGGUAAAUUCCAUCUAAAGCUAAAUACCGGCGAAAGACCGAUAGCGAACAAGUACCGUGAGGGAAAGAUGAAAAGCACUUUGGAAAGAGAGUUAAACAGUACGUGAAAUUGUUGAAAGGGAAACGCUUGAAGUCAGUCGCGUCUCCCGGGACUCAGCCUUGCUUUGCUUGGUGCACUUCCCGGGAUCGACGGGCCAGCAUCGAUUUCGACCGUCGGAGAAAGGUCUUGGGAAGGUGGCACCCUUCGGGGUGUGUUUAUAGCCCUCGGCCACAUGCGACGGUCGGGAUCGAGGACCGCAGCGCGCCUUCUCGGCCGGGGUUCGCCCACGUAACGCGCUUAGGAUGCUGGCGUAAUGGCUUUAAGCGACCCGUCUUG